Molecule: RNA transcript, 1085 nt
Organism: Drosophila ficusphila
Lineage: Eukaryota; Metazoa; Arthropoda; Insecta; Diptera; Drosophilidae
Gene: Acp63F
Gene name: accessory gland protein Acp63F
Exons: 5
Source: RefSeq, a predicted model, not a curated record
ACUAUCAGCUUCUUACCAGUUCAUCAUGAGAAACUUAAGCUUUUUAUUUAUUCUGGCUGUCUUCGUAUUGGAAAUCAACGGAAAAUGCAGUCCACGAAUUGCAAGGAUUGUGGCCCCUGUUUGUGGAGUUGCCGCAGAUUGCAACUACGAUGCCACUAACAGAUGGGACGCCGACAAUCAGUCUUGCGAACGCAAAGAAAUAGGACUAUCACCCUUCUUGGAAAUUAAAGGCGGAAAAUGUCCAUCAGAUAAACCCGAGUGUAAAUAUAUACAUAAUGGAAUACCUUUAAGCUAAAAGUAUAUUGUAACAUCCAAUAAAAGAGCUUGAAGCGAAAUUGUGUUUUCUUGGCCAUAUCUAACUUGGUUUAGUAGCAGUUUAAUUUUCAAUUUCAGUGCACAUCGGCAACGAGCAUUUAUGUAUAUGCAUCUGUGUGUGCAUCUAGAGAAACUAGAAACUUUAUAGUUUUUAUGAAAUAUGUGUAUUAAAUAAAACAUUGUUAUUCUAUCGUGUUUAAGCAUAGGCUGAACUGUAACGCUGAAACGAAGGAGAACUCGGAAAACGCUUUUCGAAAAGCGCUUUGAACUUAAACCAACUUUCAGACAUUUAUAUUGUCCUAAAAACUCACGAUUGUGUGACAAACUUGUAACCAUAAUUUGGCCUUCCUUUCGAUUUCACGGAUAAACCGACCCUUAAAUUCAUUUUUCGCAGUACUAAUUCUCAGGCGCUAUAUAAACCUGUCAUCGUUUUUAAAACUAUCAGCUUCUUACCAGUUCAUCAUGAGAAACUUUAGCUUUGUUUUUAUUCUGGCUGUCUUCGUAUUGGGAAUCAACGGAAAAUGCAGUCAAAUGGCUGCAUUGAUUUUGGCCCCUGUUUGUGGAGUUGCCGCAGAUUGCUACUUGAAUGCCGACAACCGGUGGGUAUUCGAAAAUCAGUCUUGCGAACGCAAAGAAAAAGGACUACCACCCUUUUUGGAAAUGAAAAGCGGAAAAUGUCCUACAGAUAAACCCUCGUGUGGAUAUAUAUAAUGGAUUACCUUUAAGCUCAAAGUAUAUUGUAACAUCCAAUAAAAGAGCUUGAAUCGAAA